This 1207-nucleotide ribosomal RNA is filed under the name metagenome. RNAcentral describes it as "bacterial SSU rRNA". It matches the Rfam family "Bacterial small subunit ribosomal RNA", at positions 8 to 1174 of the family's 1533-position model. The record is from RNAcentral.
AGAGUUUGAUUCUGGCUCAGAACGAACGCUGGCAGCGUGGAUUAGGCAUGCAAGUCGAACGGGAAGCGGUAGAUUCAAUCUUCGGAAAGAAUUUACCGUGGGUAGUGGCGAAAGGGUGAGUAACGCGUGGGUAACCUGCCCCUGAGUUGGGGACAACAGCUGGAAACGGCUGCUAAUACCGAAUAUGGUACUUUGUCGCAUGACGGGGAUAUUAAAGGUGGGGGUUCUUCGGAACCUGCCGCUUGGGGAGGGGCCCGCGUCCCAUCAGUUAGUUGGUAGGGUAACGGCCUACCAAGACUUACGGGUAGCCGGCCUGAGAGGGUGAUCGGCCACACUGGGACUGAGACACUGCCCAGACUCCUACGGGAGGCUGCAGUCGAGGAUCAUUCGCAAUGCGCGAAAGCGUGACGAUGCGACGCUGCGUGGAGGAUGAAGGCUCUAGGGUUGUAAACUCCUGUCAUGAGGGAAAAGCCGCACGAAUAUUAAUAAUAUUUGUGCCCGAUGGUACCUCAAAAGGAAGCGACGGCUAACUCUGUGCCAGCAGCCGCGGUAAUACAGAGGUCGCUAGCGUUGUUCGGAUUUACUGGGCGUAAAGCGUACGUAGGUGGUUCCGUGUGUCGGGUGUGAAAUCCCACAGCUCAACUGUGGAACUGCUUCCGAAACUGCGGGACUUGAGUGCAGGAGGGGAGAGCGGAAUUCUUGGUGUAGCGGUGAAAUGCGUUGAUAUCAAGAGGAACACCGGUGGCGAAGGCGGCUCUCUGGAAUGUUACUGACACUGAGGUACGAAAGCUGGGGGAGCGAACAGGAUUAGAUACCCUGGUAGUCCCAGCCGUAAACGGUGCACACUUGGUGUGGGAGGUAUUGACCCCUUCCGUGCCGGAGCUAACGCGUUAAGUGUGCCGCCUGGGGAGUACGGCCGCAAGGCUAAAACUCAAAGAAAUUGACGGGGGCCCGCACAAGCGGAGGAGCAUGUGGCUUAAUUCGAUGCAACGCGAAGAACCUUACCUGGGCUUGACAUGGUGACCCUUCGGGGGUGGAGGUGAAAGCCUCCUUUACAAUCACAGGUGCUGCAUGGCUGUCGUCAGUUCGUGCCGUGAGGUGUUGGGUUAAGUCCCGCAACGAACGCAACCCUUGUGUUUAGUUGCCACCGCAGGUGAUGAGCCUGCGAGCACUCUAGACAGACUGCCCGUACAAGCGGGAGGAAGGU